RNAcentral lists this ribosomal RNA (487 nucleotides) under uncultured bacterium. RNAcentral's name for it is "bacterial SSU rRNA". It matches the Rfam family "Bacterial small subunit ribosomal RNA", at positions 30 to 518 of the family's 1533-position model. The record is from RNAcentral.
UGAACGCUGGCGGCGUGCCUAACACAUGCAAGUCGAACGGACCUAUAUUAACAGAGACUUCGGUUGAAGUUGGUUUAGGUUAGUGGCGGACGGGUGAGUAACGCGUGGAGAACCUGCCCUGUACUGGGGGAUAACAGUGAGAAAUCACUGCUAAUACCGCAUAAGCGCACGAAACCGCAUGGUUUUGUGUGAAAAACUCCGGUGGUACAGGAUGGCUCCGCGUUGGAUUAGCCUGUUGGCGGGUAACGGCCCACCAAAGCUACGAUCCAUAGCCGGCCUGAGAGGGUGAACGGCCACAUUGGGACUGAGACACGGCCCAGACUCCUACGGGAGGCAGCAGUGGGGAAUAUUGCACAAUGGGGGAAACCCUGAUGCCAGCGACGCCGCGUGAAGGAAGAAGUAUCUCGGUAUGUAAACUUCUAUCAGCAGGGAAGAAAAUGACGGUACCUGACUAAGAAGCCCCGGCUAACUACGUGCCAGCAGCUGC